Molecule: transfer RNA, 74 nt
Filed under: Gammaproteobacteria bacterium
Lineage: Bacteria; Pseudomonadati; Pseudomonadota; Gammaproteobacteria
Description: tRNA-Arg
Rfam family: tRNA
About the family: Transfer RNA (tRNA) molecules are approximately 80 nucleotides in length. Their secondary structure includes four short double-helical elements and three loops (D, anti-codon, and T loops). Further hydrogen bonds mediate the characteristic L-shaped molecular structure. tRNAs have two regions of fundamental functional importance: the anti-codon, which is responsible for specific mRNA codon recognition, and the 3' end, to which the tRNAs corresponding amino acid is attached (by aminoacyl-tRNA synthetases). tRNAs cope with the degeneracy of the genetic code in two manners: having more than one tRNA (with a specific anti-codon) for a particular amino acid; and 'wobble' base-pairing, i.e. permitting non-standard base-pairing at the 3rd anti-codon position.
Source: RNAcentral
GCGCCUGUAGCUCAGUGGAUUAGAGUACAUCGCUACGAACGAUGGGGUCGGAGGUUCGAGUCCUUCCAGGCGCA